RNAcentral lists this ribosomal RNA (497 nucleotides) under uncultured bacterium. RNAcentral describes it as "partial 16S ribosomal RNA". It matches the Rfam family "Bacterial small subunit ribosomal RNA", at positions 28 to 507 of the family's 1533-position model. The record is from RNAcentral.
GAUGAACGCUGGCGGCGUGCCUAAUACAUGCAAGUCGAGCGAACGGACGAGAAGCUUGCUUCUCUGAUGUUAGCGGCGGACGGGUGAGUAACACGUGGAUAACCUACCUAUAAGACUGGGAUAACUUCGGGAAACCGUAGCUAAUACCGGAUAAUAUUUUGAACCGCAUGGUUCAAAAGUGAAAGACGGUCUUGCUGUCACUUAUAGAUGGAUCCGCGCUGCAUUAGCUAGUUGGUAAGGUAACGGCUUACCAAGGCAACGAUGCAUAGCCGACCUGAGAGGGUGAUCGGCCACACGGGAGCUGAGACACGGUCCAGACUCCUACGGGAGGCAGCAGUAGGGAAUCUUCCGCAAUGGGCGAAAGCCUGACGGAGCAACGCCGCGUGAGUGAUGAAGGUCUUCGGAGCGUAAAACUCUGUUAUUAGGGAAGAACAUAUGUGUAAGGAACUGUGCACAUCUUGACGGUACCUAAUCAGAAAGCAACGGCUAACUACGUG